RNAcentral lists this ribosomal RNA (304 nucleotides) under uncultured bacterium. RNAcentral describes it as "bacterial SSU rRNA". It matches the Rfam family "Bacterial small subunit ribosomal RNA", at positions 30 to 334 of the family's 1533-position model. The record is from RNAcentral.
AUUGAACGCUGGCGGCAUGGCUAAAACAUGCAAGUCGAACGCGAAAGCACUUCGGUGCAAGUAGAGUGGCGAAAGGGCGAGGAAUACGUACCUAACGUGCCUUCAGGUAAGGGAUAGCUCAUGGAAACGUGUGGUAAUACCUUAUAAUCUCAGUUUUCCGUAUGGUUGACUGAGCAAAGGCUUGCUGCCUGAAGAUCGGGGUACGUCCUAUCAGCUUGUUGGUGAGGUAACGGCUCACCAAGGCGAAGACGGGUAGCGGGCGUGAGAGCAUGACCCGCCGCAUCGGGACUGAGACACUGCCCGG